This 99-nucleotide ribosomal RNA is filed under the name Rhodella violacea. Its description in RNAcentral is "partial 5.8S ribosomal RNA". The record is from RNAcentral. Lineage: Eukaryota; Rhodophyta; Rhodellophyceae; Rhodellales; Rhodellaceae.
AGGUUCUUAAGUCGUUGACGGACGAGGCGAAUGGCGGUUCAAUUGAAAGCGCAGGUUGAUGCGGUUCUCGUUUCUUCGUCCAUGCACGGCGCUUUGACG